CCAAUAGCGUAUAUUAAAGUUGCUGCAGUUAAAAAGCUCGUAGUUGAAUUUCGGGACUAAUAUGUUGGUCGUGCCUCGGUACGUACUGAUAUUUUUGGUUUCUCCCUUCUGACGAACCUUGAUGUCAUUAAUUUGGUGUCUUGGGAAAUCAGGACUGUUACUUUGAAAAAAUUAGAGUGUUUAAAGCAGGCUCACGCUUGAAUACAUUAGCAUGGAAUAA
Molecule: ribosomal RNA, 220 nt
Filed under: uncultured Glomus
Lineage: Eukaryota; Fungi; Glomeromycota; Glomeromycetes; Glomerales; Glomeraceae
Description: partial small subunit ribosomal RNA
Rfam family: Eukaryotic small subunit ribosomal RNA
Source: RNAcentral